Molecule: unclassified non-coding RNA, 300 nt
Filed under: Hevea brasiliensis (rubber tree)
Lineage: Eukaryota; Viridiplantae; Streptophyta; Magnoliopsida; Malpighiales; Euphorbiaceae
Source: RNAcentral
UUACAAAAUACAUUUCCUUGAAGAUCAUGCAAGAAAAAUUCCAAAUUAAAGGGACAAACAUUUUGAUACAUGAAAUUAUCUAUGGAAGAGUGAAACUACAUAACAUGAAAGAAAGGCUAUUUCAUCUGCUGCUUUCUCCACUUACUGAACUUACAUACUUAGUUAUUUGCUAAACUAGAUCUUCGCUAGACCCCGAGAGCUUAGUCCACCAGGCUGUCCUUUCGUAAUUUUCUUCAGUGCCAAGCUGAUGCAGAGAUUAGGUUCCUCUUUUUCCAUCCCAACAACAUAGCUCCAUCUUUC